UACGGGGGGAGCAAGCGUUGUUCGGAUUUACUGGGCGUAAAGGGCGCGUAGGCGGUCGUGACAAGUCACUUGUGAAAUCUCCGGGCUUAACUCGGAACGGUCAAGUGAUACUGUCGGACUAGAGUACAGAAGGGCAACUGGAAUUCUCGGUGUAGCGGUGAAAUGCGCAGAUAUCAGGAGGAACACCUAUUGCGAAGGCAGCUCGCUGGGACGUAACUGACGCUGAGACGCGAAAGCGUGGGGAGCAAACAGG
Molecule: ribosomal RNA, 253 nt
Filed under: uncultured bacterium
Lineage: Bacteria
Description: partial 16S ribosomal RNA
Rfam family: Bacterial small subunit ribosomal RNA
Source: RNAcentral